CUGCAAGGCACAAUAUUCCAGUAUGGAUUUCAAACAUAAUUAUUCUCAAGUAACUGUGAGGUUACAAAAAAAAUUAGAUUUAAAAGUGGUGUGAUAAUUAUCCCUAAAUAUCAAAGGGAGAUGGCUCUGUAUGCUUAUGGUGGAGGCAUAAUAUGAUUGUCUGAAUUUGUGUGUUAAGACCCGCCCACUAUGGAUGGCAGCACUUCCUGGCUGGAAUCCUUGAUUAUAUAAAGAAGGGAUCUGAGCAGCAGUGUGUAUUUGGCACUUAGCUCCUGAGUCAAGGGAUGUGACAAGCUAUAUUGAGCUCCUGCUUGCACAACACUCCCUUCAUGGACUAUACUCCCAAAGUGAAAUCCAGAAUCGAGCUUUGGGUGGCUCUUGACGAAGUAUUUCAUUAUAGUAACAGGAAGGAGACUAAGACAAACGGUAUAAGGAACAAAACUGGAGAAAUGCAAAACGCAGACUGUGUGACUGCCAUACUAACAGAACCAUGCGCGUGCCCUUUGACGACGACGACGAGCACUUUGUAGUAGUCUUAAUUUAACGUUUCCUCCUUCACUGCUCCGGAGUCUAAGCGCUUCCUCACACAGAGCUUCCCAUGAACCACUUCAAAGCCUGUUCUACGGAAAACGGGAAUAACACUAAUUUUAGCUCCAAUUGUUAUACUUCCAAAGAGGCCUUUACAAAGGGUUGAGUUGGACUGGUUUUAAAAAAAAUCUAUAACAGAAAAUAGACUGGUUCGAAAGUGAUUGGUCUUAGGAAGAGGAGAGCUCAGCUCAGCAUGGCCCGAUGGAGAAGGGAAGAGGAACUAGCGAUGAUUAUAUCUAUGCUUUCAUCGGAGGCUCCCAAAGCACCUGAAACCAACUCUCAUUACCGUUGCCUUAAAUAGAUGAAGCCGUCGAGAUACACUGAUGGCUUUCUUCAGAGAACAUAAUCAAUUUACCAAUGGAGCCCCGAGGCUGCCCCCAAUUUCCUUGGGUAAUAUAUGUUAAUGAUCAAGCAAAGGUGACUUCUGAAUUAUUUAAGAAAUGAGAGGGAAUGAAAAUCAUCCAAGAGUUAAGGAUUACGGUCUUCUCUAUCUCCUCCGCCUAUGGUGUCCGGAUACCAAUCACACCAACGUUGUUCCUUCUAGAGUCUUUCAUUGUGCACAGAUAUGAAGCUGCAAGCUACUAAAUGGCCACCAACCAGAUGUGACAGUGAGACUAUACCGAGGGAUAUUUGGAACUCAAAGGGCUUCUAAAAUAAGGACUUGAACUUGAAAUAAAUAACAAAUAGAGAAACAGAGUAUAUUAUUGUCUUGGGUAUGCCUUUAAAUUCCUUAUAUGUGGCUAUCCCUUCCCAAGUCUUUGCCACUGGAUAAGUUUAUCUAUAGUGAGACAUAAAUGCCUUAUCAUCACUCCCUGGUGCAUGAUGUUUUGUUUCCAACAGAUAGUUAGCUCUGCCAGUGAGCAGAGAGAGGUGGGACAUCAGGCAGAACAUUCCUGUCCACCACCCCACCCCUCAGCCCAUAGAGGACAGCUUCUCUGACACUCACUUAAAGUGCUUCAGUCCAAAUGAGAGAGAAAAACCCUCCAAACACCUCAAGUGGGCAAUUUUUCUUCUCUUAGCAAAGGAAGUAGAAGAAAAUGAGCAGUUAUUAACUAUGGCAGGAUAGACAGACUCUAAGAAGCCAGAACUUGUCAUCUGGAAGAACAGACAGAAGCUCCAGACCGGAAGUAAUGUACAAAUAGUUUAGGAAAUUAUUUUGAGCCAUGUAAUCAAAUGAGUGCAAAAUCGACGUUAUUAUUUAUUGAAGAAAAAGAAUUUUAGAAACUUAGCAUCAGACUGAAUCACAGAAGGGAUUAGAGUAUAGAGGAUAGCCUGCACCACGCUUUCUCUGUAUGCUUGGAACAAUGCUGGAUCGAUCCAUUCUCACCUUAGGAGUCCAGGUGUCAUGGCCAGUCUCUUCCUGACCUAAAUGGCUUUGCCGCUGCGGAAGGUGAUGAGCUGUUCUUUACUUCUCAUCCCAUGAGAUUACCUGACAUCUUAGAAGGAUGUCUGUCUUUUUUUACUUUUUGACCCAGUACUUUAAUGUCACACAGGCUUGUAGUAACUUGUGCACAUUUUUUUUUACCUUGUCUUAACUACUGUUGUUGUUUUUAAGUUUCAAAUCUGAAGUAGUUCAUAUUUUUUUGUUGAGAAAUUGUGAGGCCUUCAAAUGAAGUCUUCUUCUAACGUGGGAUGUUAGAGAAACAAAGACAUGCUUUCUGCCUUGUGGAGAAGCAGAGAGAGUCUUUCAGUGCCUUGUCACUGAUACUCUAGUCUAUAGACAAAUGGAAGUGAAUGAAGCUUUGUGCAGCAAUUAGACACAAGGCGAGGCAACGUGUUUUACUGGGAGAUGAUCUUGUAGAAAUAAGAACCCCAAAAUAGAAAGACCAGAGAAGUUUUGAAAGGGCCUGGUGGGUGAGAAAUUUGCAUUACAGGACUCCAUGAAAGCAACUAUUGAUUAGCUUGAGGAAAGUGUGCCUUAAAGCCCUCCUCACACUCAGUGAUCUUCAGAAUAUCUCACCAGGCUACAGCUCGGUGCUUAUCAAGGAAUUUAACAAUACCCUAAAGAAAGAAAGACUCAGUUGAAAGAGCAGAGGACAGCGAGGCCCUGGAGGCCUCCCUUGAUUUUAAUAUUUCCAAGCUCUUCCAGCAGCUGUGGUGCUUUGAUUCCUCACUACUGGGAGAUCGGAGGCUGGGGCUAAAACUUGCUUCUCGCUGAGAAAAAGGCUCUUUGAUAUGAAUAAAUAAGUAGAUGUUUACUGUAUCGAUAUCUGCUGAGCCUUCUUGUGGGGGAUCUAUGGAGACUAUUAAUUGCAGCAAUGAAAACUCUUUAGAAAUGGCAUGGCCGACUUGACUAGCCUGACUCAAAGCUGGUGCUUUAAGACACAAUGAACAGACAUAACAACAAA
Molecule: long non-coding RNA, 2936 nt
Organism: Mus musculus (house mouse)
Lineage: Eukaryota; Metazoa; Chordata; Mammalia; Rodentia; Muridae
Product: RIKEN cDNA 4930404K13 gene
Exons: 2
Source: RefSeq, a predicted model, not a curated record